Molecule: ribosomal RNA, 909 nt
Filed under: Heteromicrosphaeropsis ononidicola
Lineage: Eukaryota; Fungi; Ascomycota; Dothideomycetes; Pleosporales; Didymellaceae
Description: eukaryotic LSU rRNA
Rfam family: Eukaryotic large subunit ribosomal RNA
Source: RNAcentral
UAGCAUAUCAAUAAGCGGAGGAAAAGAAACCAACAGGGAUUGCCCUAGUAACGGCGAGUGAAGCGGCAACAGCUCAAAUUUGAAAUCUGGCGUCUUUGGCGUCCGAGUUGUAAUUUGCAGAGGGCGCUUUGGCAUUGGCAGCGGUCCAAGUUCCUUGGAACAGGACGUCACAGAGGGUGAGAAUCCCGUACGUGGUCGCUAGCCUUUACCGUGUAAAGCCCCUUCGACGAGUCGAGUUGUUUGGGAAUGCAGCUCUAAAUGGGAGGUAAAUUUCUUCUAAAGCUAAAUACUGGCCAGAGACCGAUAGCGCACAAGUAGAGUGAUCGAAAGAUGAAAAGCACUUUGGAAAGAGAGUUAAAAAGCACGUGAAAUUGUUGAAAGGGAAGCGCUUGCAGCCAGACUUGCCUGUAGUUGCUCAUCCGGGUUUUUACCCGGUGCACUCUUCUGCGGGCAGGCCAGCAUCAGUUUGGGCGGUUGGAUAAAGGUCUCUGUCAUGUACCUCUCUUCGGGGAGAACUUAUAGGGGAGACGACAUGCAACCAGCCUGGACUGAGGUCCGCGCAUCUGCUAGGAUGCUGGCGUAAUGGCUGUAAGCGGCCCGUCUUGAAACACGGACCAAGGAGUCUAACAUCUAUGCGAGUGUUUGGGUGUCAAGCCCGAGCGCGUAAUGAAAGUGAACGGAGGUGGGAACCUUUCGGGGUGCACCAUCGACCGAUCCUGAUGUCUUCGGAUGGAUUUGAGUAAGAGCAUAGCUGUUGGGACCCGAAAGAUGGUGAACUAUGCUUGAAUAGGGUGAAGCCAGAGGAAACUCUGGUGGAGGCUCGCAGCGGUUCUGACGUGCAAAUCGAUCGUCAAAUUUGGGCAUAGGGGCGAAAGACUAAUCGAACUAUCUAGUAGCUGGUUCCUGCGA